CAAACACCUAGCCUUGCCACACCCCCACGGGGCUCAGCAGUAAUUAACAUUAAGCAAUAAGCGACCCCAUCAAGCUCGACUUAGUUAUGAUUUCCCAGGUCGGUUAAUUUCGUGCCAGCCACCGCGGUUAUACGAAAGACCUAAAAUAAUAAUGCCCGGCAAAAAACGUGACUAGAGCACACAAUUUUUCACGUGAGACUAAAACCUUUUAGUCAAGUUAUAAAAUACAUCAGACACAUCAAGAAUACCCUUUAAAUCUCAAUGAACAAUUAUCCCUUGACCUCACGAAAACCAAGAAACAAACUGGGAUUAGAUACCCUACUAUGCUUGGUCAUAAACCUUGACAUUCCCACACAAUGUCCGCCAGAGCACUACAAGUGAAAAACUCAAAACUCAAAGGACUUGACGGUGUCCCACAUCAACCUAGAGGAGCCUGUCCUAUAAUCGAUACCCCACGAAACACCUUACCUCCCCUAGCACUUUCAGCCUAUAUACCGCCGUCGUCAGUCUACCUUAUGAAAGCAACUAAGUAGACAAACUAGCCCCCCCCAAAAACGUCAGGUCAAGGUGUAGCAUAUGAAGAGGAAAGAGAUGGGCUACAUUUUCUAAAAAGAACAAACUAUCAUCAUCCUGAAAAAAUGACCUACGGUGGAUUUAGCA
Molecule: ribosomal RNA, 660 nt
Filed under: Oedura tryoni
Lineage: Eukaryota; Metazoa; Chordata; Lepidosauria; Squamata; Diplodactylidae
Description: partial 12S ribosomal RNA
Rfam family: Bacterial small subunit ribosomal RNA
Source: RNAcentral